RNAcentral lists this ribosomal RNA (383 nucleotides) under uncultured eukaryote. RNAcentral describes it as "partial 18S ribosomal RNA". It matches the Rfam family "Eukaryotic small subunit ribosomal RNA", at positions 592 to 976 of the family's 1831-position model. The record is from RNAcentral.
CAAUAGCGUAUAUUAAAGUUGUUGCAGUUAAAAAGCUCGUAGUUGGAUUUCUGGUGGGAGCGAUCGGUCUGGCGCUUAGCGCGAGUACUUGCAUCGUCUCCGGCCAUCCUUGGGGAGAGUCUGUCUGGCAUUAGGUUGUCGGGCAGAGGAUCCUCAUCGUUUACUGUGAAAAAAUUAGAGUGUUCAAAGCAGGCUUAUGCCGUUGAAUAUAUUAGCAUGGAAUAAUAAGAUAGGACUUUGGUACUAUUUUGUUGGUUUGCGCACCAAAGUAAUGAUUAAUAGGGAUAGUUGGGGGUAUUUAUAUUCCGAUGUCAGAGGUGAAAUUCUUAGAUUUUCGGAAGAUAAACUUAUGCGAAAGCAUUUACCAAGGAUGUUUUCAUUAA